GAAAUGAUGGAGAGGAAGGUAAAAACAUCGUGCCUCAGGCCUCACGGUGACAGAGUAGAGAUGGGGUUUCACCGUGUUAGCCAGGAUGGUCUCGAUCUCCAAGAUAAGGCUGCCUCCUAAGCCUCGCAUCUGUUGUCUGUAAGAGAGCCACGGCUGUGCAGGAAGGAGGGAUGAGGCGGUGGAGUCCUGGGUGUCAGGUCCUGUACUACAGGCCGAGCACAGGGAGAGGAGCAAGCUUUCCUCCUUCCCCUCCUUUCUUUCUCCCUUGAACAUUUGCUGAAGUGUCACCUAUGUUCCAGAUGUUGUGCUAGGAAGCAAAAUACAGCACCAAACAAGAUAAGCAUGGUCACUGCCCUGCUCCCAAGGAAGGAUGCUUUGGAAGGCCUUUCACUGAAUAUCUGUCCUCACCUACUCUGUGCCACUCACAGGCUUGGUUGAGGAUCAAACUCUUUUUGCAGAAGAGGAAAGGGAGACUCCAAGAGGGGCAAUGCUCUGUCCCUAGAUCUGUGACCUUGGGCAAGUGGUAGUUUGGACUGAGCAUUCCUAAGCUAUAUCCAGGGCACCCCAUGCUUCCUGGCCUCAUGUUUAGCUCCUUGUGAGAGGGUCAGGUCGCCCACUAGCAGAUGAACUCCUUGCUCAUCCUUGUGUUCCAAGCAGAAACUAACACAAAACCAGACAACCUGGAAUGAAGACAAGAAACCCUUGGCCUGCUGGGUCAUGAAGCUAUUUCUGGCUGCUGUCCAUGGUACUGGCAAGAAGCAUGAAGCCUGCCAAUGUCAGGUGGUUAGAGCCCUCUUGGGAAGCUAAAAGAUUCUUAUCGUCCAAUUCAUGCUUUUCACAGCCUCCUUGGUUUUUCACUGGGUCUUUCCAACAAGUCUUACCUGUCUCCUCUCUCAACUCCCGGUGAGCUUUUCUGUUGGCCAGUGGAUGCCUUGUAUUAGAUGUUUGUCUUUUUUUUUUUUUUCUGGUCUCCUGUUAUUUUCCCAAGUCAUUCUUAACCUUGGAAGCAGAGAACACUCACAACCAGCUGUACUUGGUGUUGCAUAUUAAAUAAUCUUUGUUUUGAUUCAUGUGUUAAAGUCCUUUAUCCAUUCUCUUGCAUUACAGAGACCCCAGUCUUAACACAUAUUUCUUACAUCAUGUUUCCCAAAUGUCAGUCACCCACAUACCUCCCAC
This 1176-nucleotide long non-coding RNA is filed under the name Homo sapiens (human). RNAcentral's name for it is "HSALNT0269670". Lineage: Eukaryota; Metazoa; Chordata; Mammalia; Primates; Hominidae. The record is from RNAcentral.